RNAcentral lists this non-coding RNA (207 nucleotides) under Romboutsia hominis. RNAcentral describes it as "T-box". It matches the Rfam family "T-box leader". From Rfam's summary of the family: Uncharged tRNA acts as the effector for transcription antitermination of genes in the T-box leader family. T-boxes are found upstream of many aminoacyl-tRNA synthetase genes and some amino acid biosynthetic genes usually in Gram-positive bacteria. The anticodon of a specific tRNA base pairs to a specifier sequence within the T-box motif, and the NCCA acceptor tail of the tRNA base pairs to a conserved bulge in the T-box antiterminator hairpin. The record is from RNAcentral. Lineage: Bacteria; Bacillati; Bacillota; Clostridia; Peptostreptococcales; Peptostreptococcaceae.
AUCAAAGCUAUAAUAAAGAAAUAGUAAAAGACUAGAGUCUUCACAGAGAGGGAACAUUUGGUGAAAGUUCCUAAGAUAUAAUCUUUGAACCAAUCUUUUAGCAUAAAGGUGGUAACAAACCUUUACGGUAGGGACCGUUAUAUCCCCUAAAGAGAGCCAAUGGCUAAUUAGAGUGGUACCGCGGAAAUUCAACCUUCCGUCUCUAUA